This 773-nucleotide ribosomal RNA is filed under the name uncultured Neocallimastigales. RNAcentral describes it as "partial large subunit ribosomal RNA". It matches the Rfam family "Eukaryotic large subunit ribosomal RNA", at positions 24 to 649 of the family's 3401-position model. Lineage: Eukaryota; Fungi; Neocallimastigomycota; Neocallimastigomycetes; Neocallimastigales. The record is from RNAcentral.
UACGACUACAUAUCAGGCAUAUCAAUAAGCGGAGGAAAAGAAACUAACAAGGAUUCCCUUAGUAACGGCGAGUGAAGCGGGAAGAGCUCAAAUUUGAAAUCUUCAAGGUUCUACCUUGACGAAUUGUAGUUUAAAGAAGUGUUUUCUGUUAGAUGAGUAGCAAAAGUUCCUUGGAAUGGGACAUCAUAGAGGGUGAGAAUCCCGUAUUUGGUUAUUCAUUCUAGCUUUGUGAUACACUUUCAAAGAGUCGGAUUGUUUGGGAAUGCAGUCCAAAAUGGGUGGUAAAUUUCAUCUAAAGCUAAAUAUUGGCGAGAGACCGAUAGCGAACAAGUACCGUGAGGGAAAGAUGAAAAGAACUUUGAAAAGAGAGUUAAACAGUACGUGAAAUUGUCAAAAGGGAAGCGUUUGACACCAGUGUUGUUUUUCCAAAAUCAAUUACGAAUGGCUUGAUUUUGUGUUGUAUUGACCUUAUCAGCUUUCUUCACUUUUUUCGAGUCUUUCUUAAUGCACUUUUCGGUUAACAAGUCAACAUCAAUUUCUUUUGUUGUAAAAGAGUAUUCGGAAGGUGGCUUUCUUUUCGGAGAAAGUGUUUAUAGCCCUAUACUUCUACAAUCGGAGAGAUUGAGGUCUGCAGCGUAGAUCCUUCGGGGUUAGAUACACUUGCGCUAAGUUGUAGCUUUUCAUAGACAACUUGUUGACUAUGUUUAGUCAUGCGGCUUACUCGCUUGUGCUAUUUUACCUACGCUUAGGAUGUUGAGUAGCGACAUACGCAC